AGCUGUCAGUCAAGAUUCCACAAACACACACUCUCUCCCCGAAACGCCUCCUCAUCUCUUGAUGAACCGCCUGGCCCGCUACAGGAUUUUCACGAAAACGUCGACCGCAGACUACGCAGCACCACGAACGACAGCGAAAUUCGGACGGAGGGAACCCGAAACGAUGGCCUCAGCGUCGUGACAGCGACGUCGACGACGUUUCCCGAGUCGGACACACGGUUUUGAUCUUGAAGGACUUUGGGAGCAUGAAAUAGCAAUGACUGCGGUGUCACUUGUUUGAUAGAAAGACGGAGAGGGGGGGCCAAAGUGGACCUCCCCCCUCAGCACACAGCCCUCCACCAGGCAGAGGCGUUCCGUUCGAUGGAGUCUAACGGGACCUUUGCAGGGAGCUCCAGGCCCGAAAUGUCACCUGGGAAACGUCGACAACCAGCAAACCUUUCAGUGUUUUAACGGGUUUUCCCUAAAAAAAAAAAACUUUUUAGAAAGCCUGUAAAAAAGUUAGCAGGUCAUCGUUAGUCGCACCAAACAUGACUGUCGAUGUCACCUAACGAGAAUUUUACUCGCCACCUCUGGUUAGACAGGACAGGUGAACGGCGGAUUUUAAAGCCCGUUUAUUGAAUUUGAGAGUUUUACUUUUAUUUUUUAUUUUUUUGACCUCCAGGAGAACUAUCAAAAUUUUCUCAUCAGGUUUCGCCUCCUCCAGUAACCAUGUCACUCAAAGACAACGCCUGCAAAAAAUUCCAAGCCAACAUUUUCAACAAAAGUAAAUGUCAGAACUGCUUCAAACCCAGAGAGUCCCAUCUACUCAACGACGAAGACUUAAAUCAGGCUAAACCUAUGUAUGGAGGAUGGCUUCUGCUGGCUCCCGAAGGAACAAAUUUUGACAAUCCCUUACACAGAUCUCGAAAAUGGCAGAGAAGGUUCUUUAUCCUCUAUGAACACGGCUUGCUUCGUUAUGCUCUGGAUGAAAUGCCCAGCACUCUACCCCAGGGUACGAUCAAUAUGAACCAGUGCUCCGAUGUCAUCGAUGGCGAAUCCAGGACGGGUCAGAAGAACUCGCUGUGCAUCCUCACCCCUGAGAAAGAGUACUUCAUACGGGCCGAGUGUAAAGAAAUCAUCAACGGGUGGCAGGAGGCUCUGACCGUUUAUCCCCGGACCAACAAGCAGAACCAGAAGAAAAAACGUAAAGUCGACACCCACACCCAGCAGGAUGGAGUUACUUCAAGCCAGUGUAUUUCCACUGCGGACAUGAAUGGACACCCUGAGCCCGGGCCCGCCAAGGUAACGGUGACCAGCAGCAGCGGCGGCAGCAUCCCAUGCCUGCCCAGCAGCAUUGCCGGAGCCGAGCGAGUCCCAACGAGCCGUGCCAUCCUGUGGCAGGAGGAGAGCCACUGGAGCCGGGCCACCAUCCCCUGCAGCCGCAGCGCCUCCUGCCUCAGCCAGAUGAGCCAGAGACCACCGGACUCCAGUGUGUCCAGUCACGAUGAUGGAGGAACUGAAAGCACUGGACGGAAAGUUCGAGUAGAGAGCGGUUACUUUUCCUUGGAAAAGACGAAAUCAGAGCCUUCUCCUCAUACCGUCCAUCCAUACCAGCCGCCUCAACACCUGCCCCUGUCCUCUUCAGCAUCGUCCUCCUCUUUAGGAGCCUCCAGUACCAGGUACAGCCCUGAAUCCGAAGCUCAAACUUCCCCUCACCAGUCCUCCCAAGACCUUCCCUCACCAGGUGCACUUCUCUCCCUGAGCUACUCCACCAUCAGCUCCUCCCAGAGCUCGCUGGACUCUGAAACCAGUAGAGCCACGCUCACCUGGGAGGGGAGCAAUGGCGGCGAGGAGCUCCUUAAUAAUGUCAGUGUUAGAGGAGGAGGAGGAAGCAGGGUCGGACGCGCUGGCAGGGAUUAUGCGGUGCUGUCGGAUGUGCCACGCGCUCGCCGACUGAGCUAUAAAGAGGCUUUCCGCUCCGAGAAAAAGCGUCAAGAGCUGAGAGCCCGAACAAGAAGCCCUGGGAGGGAGGAGGUGGCUCGAUUGUUUGGGGAGGAGCGCAGGCGGUCUCAAGUCAUCGGUCAGUUUGAGGAUGGUCAGCAUGUUGAGCGGAUGGACACGAGCGGCUCGAAUGACCCAUCAGCUAAAACCGCACAAAUCCAGAGACAAGGCCGCAGCGAGAGGCGCUAUCUGGACGCCAAGCAGGAGAUGUCACUGGAUACAGGGAAGGACUGUUUAGCCUCGGAGGUUUCCAGCUCCAGUUUUGCCAACCUAAGAAGAGCGAAAUCUUUGGAUCGCAGAAUCACAGAGUCAUCAAUGACUCCGGAUUUGCUAAACUUCAAAAAAGGAUGGAUGACGAAGCUUUAUGAAGAUGGAGUGUGGAAAAAACACUGGUUUGUCCUCACAGACCAGAGUUUGAAGUACUUUAAGGACUCAAUAGCUGAAGAGGCCUUAGAAAUGGAUGGUGAAAUUGACCUUUCUACGUGUUACGAUGUCAAAGAGUUUCCAGUCCAGAGGAAUUACGGCUUCCAAAUCCUCUGCAAGGAGGGAGCGUGCACCCUGUCAGCCAUGACCUCUGGCAUCCGCCGCAACUGGAUUCAGGCCAUUAUGAAGAAUGUGCGACCCACUAUUGCCCCUGACGUCACCCGGAAAAACAUCUCUCUGAAACUAUCCGUUCUGAAGCCAAGAUCUGUUCCUGAUGAGAAGAUCAAAGGUGAUGUGACUUUGGAGCCGUGUCCUCAGAGCACGCCUGACCCGCCCCCCCGCCCCGAAGUGUCCAUGUCCGACGGGCCCAGACAGGAACAAGUCCGCAACGCCGCCGCUCCCGUCUCGGAGCCACGCAAGAGCAGAGUACGCGAGCGCAGACGAGAGGGCCGCUCUAAAACCUUCGACUGGGCCGAGUUCAAGAUGGAACAGACGGAGAAGCCGCCAAAAGAACGAGCCGACACAGUCGACUUCAGCUCCUCGUGCUCCACCGCCUCCUCCUUCUGCUCCCCGUCUUCCUCUGCGUCCUCGCUGGCGUCCUCUCCGGUCUCCUCCUCAUCCAUGCAAACCUCGUCCGUAUCAGUUCAUCCACCUCCAAUAACACCGGAAAUGGAGAAGGAAAACAUUAGGAGAACUGCUCCAGCUCCAGCAGUGAAAGGGAAGGCUGAUGGUCAGGAACAAGGGAAGAUGGAGCUCGAUCAUCCGAACGCUCUUUGUCAAAGUGGUGAAGAGAAAAGCAGCAGCGACACGUCAAACGUGCAAGAAGAGAUCGAGCAGCGAUGGCAUCAGGUGGAAACGACACCUUUAAGAGAAGCCAAGCAGGUUCCCAUCACCACGACGUUCAAAAACUCUGAGCGACUUCCUGCUCAUGAGCUCGCAGCGCUGCUGGACAAAGAGUUGGGGCAAAAGCAAAAGGAGCUGGAGCAGCUACAGGAGCAGAACAACUUCUUAAAAGAGCAGCUGGAGGACGCUUUAGGGAGAGAACAAAAUGCCCGAGAGGGUUAUGUACUGCAGAGUGCAUCGCCUCCCUCCUCCUCCUCGCCUCGUAGAGUGCCGUGGCAGCACUUGCACAAGCUCAACGAAGACUUGCAGAGUGAACUGGAGUCCCAAAAGGUCAAGCAAGACCUCGCUCAGCAGCAAAUGCGCACCCUGAAGAGAAGCUACACCGAAGCUCAGGACGCCGUAAACCGCCACGAGGCCGACAUUCAAGCUCUGCAGGCUAAGCUCGCCUCCGCCAUGGCGGAAAUCUUAGUCGGCGAGCAGGCUGUGGCCCGAAUGCGAAACGAACUCAAGUCGGAGCAGGAGCGCUCCAAAGAACAAGAGGAGGAAUACUGGCGCAAUGAGGCCACCUUAAGAGCACAGCUGAAGGACAGUGAAGAUCGACUCCGGGAAGUGGAAGCCAGCCUUUUGGAGAGAAACCAAGCGCUCAGACACCUGGAGCGGCAGCAGGCCCUGCAGCGAGACCACAUGCGAGAGGUGCAGAGGUUACAGGAGAGGCUGCAAGAGGUCACUGCUCGGUUAGUCGCUACGGAAGAGGCCCAACUCCUGAAGGAGGAGCGCCUCAAGAAGGAGCAGCACAGCAUGCAGGAGAGUCACGAGAGGGAACGGCAGGGUUUGUGUAGAAGGUUAGCCGAGGCUGAACGUGCGCACAAAGACGCGGAGGACAGGCUGUUGGAGGCGGAGCAACAGGUGGAGGCCUUGCUGAGAGGGAGGCGGGCCUCUGCGAGUCAGGAGUUUGAAGAGGAAAUGUUAAAGUUAAAAGAAGAUCUGGCCCAAAAGGCCGACAUGGUCGAGUCACUGAGGGAAAGUGUGAGGCGGCUGGAAGAAGAAAGAGGACGCCUCACCUGCCGGUGUCAGGAGCUUCUCAACCAGAUCACCGAAGCAGACCGGGAGGUCAACAAACUUCGAAACCGCCUGGAAGCUGAAGAAGCGGAUUAUUGCAACCUGGAACACUCGUACGACAGAGUCACUCAAGAGUUCCAGAAAAUUAGCCAGAUUCUUAGAGAAAAAGAGGAAGAGAUCCAGCAAACGAAGGAGAUGUAUGAACGGCUGAUGGAACGCAAAGAGGAAGAUCUGAAAGAAGCUCUGGUGAAGAUGAGCGCUCUCGGCUGCAGCUUAGAGGAAACAGAGCAGAAGUUACAAGUCAAAGAGGAACUUCUCUGUCAAAUGAGUGAAAGUCUUUUACACAACGCUGAGCCCUGCGACGCCGAAAAAGAUCUGCAGGCCAAGCUCGUGGUCGCAGAAGAUCGCAUUGCAGAGCUGGAACUUCACCUCCGAGAUCUCCAGUUGGACUACGCUGACCUGCGCAUGGAAAGGGAGAAAUCCCACUCGUCCUCAAACGCAGAGCUCACCUCAGAUGAGUCAUCAAAAUCUGGUGAAAUGGAGUCUCAAGCCAAGAAACCGAGGAUUCGCUUUUCAAGUAUUCAGUGCCAAAAAUACAUCAACUUUGAGGAAAUCGAUGCCAGCAGCCUCCCCGGAGAACCUAAAGAUGACCGCCCAGCAGCUGAGGAAAACUGCGAUAUCGCUCUUUCACAGUCCAGUGACCCGGAGAAGUUCAUCUCCAUCAUUCAUGCCCUCGAAACGAAGCUCCUCAUCACGGAGGAGAAGCUGAGAAAUCUCACAAAGAGUCUCGAUGUUCAAGAAUGCUCCCAAGUAGAAGAGAUAUCUACAACUGAGCCUCCCGUUAGUGAGGUCGCGUCUGUAAAGCAUUUCUCCAAGGCCCUGGUUUACGUUGAGAGCAGCCGAGAGAAAGUGAGCAGCAUUCUGAGCGGCGCCGACUCACGUUUGCACUUAUUGUCAGAAAUAGAGAACGACUUGUUUAGUGCGUCGCUUCACAUUCGACAAGGCCAAAAAGAGGAAAAACACAAGUCAGAGUUAGAGAGCGAGACCGCUGAGAGUACAGAUGCAGACGAACUCCAGCUCUUUACCAAAACUUUAUCUUUUGAGGCGACCAUUCUCAACAAAAUGGCCACGCUGAUUCAAACCUCAAAAUCUGACCUGCUGAAAGCUCUUGUUGAGAUUUGGGAGGACGUCGAUUAUUCUAAAAGGACCGACAAGGAUUCAAUAGCUUUAGUUUACGCCAGCGCGUUGUCUAGGAAGCUGAUGCUGGAGAGCACGUUCUGGAAGGAGCUGGAGAACGCCGAAACACACGUAAAAGCCAAAGAAAGCGGCGCCGAUUUAGACGUCAACGCCUCAGUAGUGUUAAACUCCUGUAUCAAAGCAGAACUAGCAUAUUCUAUUCAGAACCUUAAACUUUGCUAUGAAGAAAAAUUCCAAAUGCUCAAAAGAGAGUUAAGUGAAGUCCACCGUAACCUCCAUGAAAGGGAAGAAGCUCUGAAAGCGAUUAUUGAAGCUUCUAAAAGGCCCGAUCUGCCGAAUGUUAUAAAAGAAGUGAAAAGGACCUUUGGGUUUGGGAAGCACCAGUUAGCAGACAUUCACCCCCCUGAGCUGGCCCCCUACAUGGAGCAAAUUGAAAUGGAAGUAGCCCGAGAUUUGGCCGAGGAAGUUGUGGACAGGCAGCUAGCCGGCGUGCUGUCUUCAUGUGCUGUUGAGUCGGUUCAGUCGUUUGAAAAAGCAUACGACAGCCUCGUAAGUGAACUCCAGCGACAGGCGGCGCUCCUUCAGAGAUACGCGGUGGAAAUCGAAAACACCGGAAGCCACCCCGGGUUGUCUAAAAUGAUCCACAGCGUUCUAGGCCCCCAAACGCCACACGGGUUGACGAGCAGCUCGUUUUGCAUCCGGGAAGCUCUCAUCCAGGCUCAAGUGGCUUACUUAGCAUGUCGGCUACAAGCCGCACAUGAAGAAGAGUUGAGUUUGUGUAAGCAGACCAGUCAGAACAUGGAAGCGCUGGUGCAGCAGCAUGCGCACAACAUCACUGCAAUUCAGGAAAAGUACGAGGAGCGCUUGCAAGAGGAGCGGCAGCACCUGACGGACGCCGUGGUCGCUCUGGAGACGGAGAACGAGGCUCUGAAAAGUGAAAUCGGCAAACGGAUCGACCAGCUCGCUCAGUGGCAGGAGCAGGUGGUUAUGAGGGAGGACCAGUUCCUGAAGGAGGUGGAGGAGCUGAAGCAGAGGCACAAGGAGGAGAUGAACCAAUUAGAACAAGGUCGCGUGACGGCGGAGCUGGCCCUCAUGGACACGGCGGCCGAGAGUCAACGGAAGCUGGAGGUUCUGCUGGUAGACAUGGACGGGAUGGAGGAGCGCCACGAGAGCCACCUGAGAAACCUGGAGGAGCAGUUUGAACAAAAGAUGCACGAAAUGCAGCGAGUCCACAGGGAGGAGAUGGAAAAGUUACAUUCCCAGUAUGAAGAAAGUGCCAAAAAGAACCAAAAAACCCCAGAGAUCACGCUCUCGCCUCCGUGUGAUGAGCCUGCAACACCGAUGGAGGAGGAGGAGCAGGGAAAAGCCGAGGUCGACUCCAUGCUGGUUCUGAAGGACCGCAUUCAGGAGCUGGAGACUCAGAUGGAUAACAUGAGGGACGAGCUGGAGAACAAGCACCUGGAAGGAGACGUGGCCAGCCUGAGAGAGAAAUACCAGAGAGACUUUGAAAGUCUGAAGGCUACCUGUGAGCGCGGGUUUGCCGCAAUGGAAGAAACUCAUCAGAAGGUCGUAGAAGACCUGCAGCGGCAGCAUCAGAGGGAGAUUUCUAAACUCAUGGAGGAGCGAGAGCGACUGCUGGCUGAGGAAACUGCCGCCACCAUUGCUGCCAUUGAAGCCAUGAAGAAUGCUCACAAGGAGGAGCUGGAGAAGACCCAACGCUCCCAACUGAGCGGACUGAACUCUGACAUCGAUGAGCUCCGCCUACAAUACGAGGAGGAGCUUCAAUCAGUCCAGAGAGAGCUGGAGGUGUUGUCGGAGCAGUACUCUCAGAAAUGUCUGGAGAACGCUCACCUAGCUCAGGCGCUGGAGGCGGAGAGGCAGGCCCUCACGCAGUGUCAGAGGGAGAACCAGGAGCUAAACGCUCACAAUCAGGAGUUGAACAACAGACUGUCUGCAGAAAUCACUCGGAUGCGGUCUUGUUUCAGCGGAGAAACAGCGCUGUCUCCACUUACCCAGGGCAAAGACGUGUAUGAGCUGGAGGUGCUUCUACGAAUAAAAGAGUCAGAAAUUCAGUAUCUUAAACAGGAAAUCCACUCAUUGAAGGAUGAACUGCAGUCUGCUUUAAGGGACAAGAAAUAUGCCACGGACAAAUACAAGGACAUCUACACAGAGCUGAGCAUCGUGAAGGCAAAGGCCGACUGUGAUAUCAGCAAGUUGAAGGAGAAGCUGCUGAUGGCGACAGAAGCUUUAGGAGAGAGGGCUGUGGAGGGAAGCGUCACUUCUGGAUAUGACAUCAUGAAGUCGAAAAGUAAUCCAGAUUUUAUGAAAAAAGAACGAUCAACAACACCCAAGACAAUACGAGGACUAAGAUCAAAGUCCGUCACUGAACAGGUCUCAUUGGAUAACUGACUCUCCCAAUCUUGGGGGAUUUUCCCAAACCCCCACUCCCCACCAUGUGCUAGCCUGAAAGAAGGACUAACCGUGCAGGAGAGAUUAAAGCUUUUUGAGGCUAAAGACUCCAGAAAGAUUUGAAUCUCACUAAACCUGACUUUGUUUUUCUUUUUCUUUUGCCUGUGUUUGGUCAGAUCUCCAUGUUUGUGCCUGCAUAUUUUUACAGCAACUGUAUUAAACAAAUCCAUAUCUACAAAAAAACCCCUAAGUUCAUGAAAUAUAUGUCCUGUUUAAUUCACAUAAGAUGUAAUCCAGAGACUAAGCUGUGAAAGGGAGAAAUAACAGCAUUUGAAUCGGUCCUCCAGAAUGCGAUAAACAGCAAUACACAGAAAGAAUAAUAUAUAUUUCCUGAUAAUGACUUAAAUAUCUGCUGUAUUUUAUUAUUGUUACGGUGUCUGUUUUUUUAAUUUUGUUUGAUGUUGUAAAUACCUGCUGGAAAUGUUCCGUUUGGAUGAGGUGCAUCUGCUGUAUUAUACUUAAAGUUCAUUUGAUGGUGGGAAGCAAUGUGAUUCUUGAUUUGUCCAAGAGUUUUAAAGUGAGUGAACGGGGGAAUUAGGGGUUGAGAAUGCACUUAACCAGUUGACUACUUGAGGAAACCUUUUUUUUUGUCAGAGCAAGCAAACAUCAUGACUUGUUUUAGGUAAAUAUCACUUUUUUUUUCUUUGUUUGGCUCUAAAAAACCGCCCAGUUUUACAUUUCCUAAACUGAAACUAUUUAGGACUUUGCAUGCAUCUACAAUUUGAGUUCCUUUUAUCGUUUUUAACAUUUAUAAGCUUUGCAAGUCCUACUGUGUUCAAAGUGUUUUACUGUAAACUGCAGCCGUUUGCUCCACUUCCUGGUUUCUCAAAUCUUUGUGCCUCAGCUGAGUGACAAACAUCAGUAAAACUUCUGCAGCUAUGGAAACACACUGUACAGUAUUCAAACCACGCCUUGUACAUAUGAACAUGCCACGUGAGAGGUUUCUGUAUUGUUUUAAACGUGUACUUUUGCUCAUUAGUUCUAUAUUAAAUGUAUCUGAAUAUUUUUUAUUUCUAUUUGAAUGUAUCACGUCAAAUAAAUGAAGUGUUUGGAAGUAUCCUU
RNA transcript from Oryzias melastigma (Indian medaka), 9033 nucleotides. It is a transcript of the gene named protein outspread, with no coding region annotated. The record is from RefSeq and is a predicted model, not a curated record. Lineage: Eukaryota; Metazoa; Chordata; Actinopteri; Beloniformes; Adrianichthyidae. The transcript has 27 exons.